RNAcentral lists this ribosomal RNA (1372 nucleotides) under uncultured bacterium. RNAcentral describes it as "bacterial SSU rRNA". It matches the Rfam family "Bacterial small subunit ribosomal RNA", at positions 28 to 1381 of the family's 1533-position model. The record is from RNAcentral.
GAUAAACGCUGGCGGCGUGCCUAGUACAUGCAAGUCGAGCGAACGGACGAGAAGCUUGCUUCUCUGAUGUUAGCGGCGGACGGGUGAGUAACACGUGGAUAACCUACCUAUAAGACUGGGAUAACUUCGGGAAACCGGAGCUAAUACCGGAUAAUAUUUUGAACCGCAUGGUUCAAAAGUGAAAGACGGUCUUGCUGUCACUUAUAGAUGGAUCCGCGCUGCAUUAGCUAGUUGGUAAGGUAACGGCUUACCAAGGCAACGAUGCAUAGCCGACCUGAGAGGGUGAUCGGCCACACUGGAACUGAGACACGGUCCAGACUCCUACGGGAGGCAGCAGUAGGGAAUCUUCCGCAAUGGGCGAAAGCCUGACGGAGCAACGCCGCGUGAGUGAUGAAGGUCUUCGGAUCGUAAAACUCUGUUAUUAGGGAAGAACAUAUGUGUAAGUAACUGUGCACAUCUUGACGGUACCUAAUCAGAAAGCCACGGCUAACUACGUGCCAGCAGCCGCGGUAAUACGUAGGUGGCAAGCGUUAUCCGGAAUUAUUGGGCGUAAAGCGCGCGUAGGCGGUUUUUUAAGUCUGAUGUGAAAGCCCACGGCUCAACCGUGGAGGGUCAUUGGAAACUGGAAAACUUGAGUGCAGAAGAGGAAAGUGGAAUUCCAUGUGUAGCGGUGAAAUGCGCAGAGAUAUGGAGGAACACCAGUGGCGAGGGCGACUUUCUGGUCUGUAACUGACGCUGAUGUGCGAAAGCGUGGGGAUCAAACAGGAUUAGAUACCCUGGUAGUCCACGCCGUAAACGAUGAGUGCUAAGUGUUAGGGGGUUUCCGCCCCUUAGUGCUGCAGCUAACGCAUUAAGCACUCCGCCUGGGGAGUACGACCGCAAGGUUGAAACUCAAAGGAAUUGACGGGGACCCGCACAGGCGGUGGAGCAUGUGGUUUAAUUCGAAGCAACGCGAAGAACCUUACCAAAUCUUGACAUCCUUUGACAACUCUAGAGAUAGAGCCUUCCCCUUCGGGGGACAAAGUGACAGGUGGUGCAUGGUUGUCGUCAGCUCGUGUCGUGAGAUGUUGGGUUAAGUCCCGCAACGAGCGCAACCCUUAAGCUUAGUUGCCAUCAUUAAGUUGGGCACUCUAAGUUGACUGCCGGUGACAAACCGGAGGAAGGUGGGGAUGACGUCAAAUCAUCAUGCCCCUUAUGAUUUGGGCUACACACGUGCUACAAUGGACAAUACAAAGGGCAGCGAAACCGCGAGGUCAAGCAAAUCCCAUAAAGUUGUUCUCAGUUCGGAUUGUAGUCUGCAACUCGACUACAUGAAGCUGGAAUCGCUAGUAAUCGUAGAUCAGCAUGCUACGGUGAAUACGUUCCCGGGUCU